AGCUGAGAAAUGCCAGUGUUGGCCAUGCUGGCCACAUGUGGGACGGAGCAGGAUCCCCAGCCACCCAUGCGAGGCCACCCCCUUCCUGGGGGGGGUCCUUGUUCAGAGGGGCACCGACAACUAACUGGCUGAACAAGCCGUCUCAUGACGUCUUGGAACCCUGACCAUAAAGGUGCAGGACCUGGCCACAGCACCCUGCCUGUGCUGGCACUGCACAGACCUGUCUGUCAGGAGCCUCCUGCCGGCCCAUUUCUGCCUAUCCAGGCAUCGACUUCAGAAUCUCAGGUGCUGCUUGGCAGGAAAAUGCCCAGCAGGCGGGCCUGGGACUCGGUGAUGCGCCUGUGCCGGGGAGGGCAGAACGCUGGUGCCUGGCACAGGUGCCACAACACAUACGGGUGAGGACAUUGAAAACCCCUCAGUUCCCCUGACUCAUGGCCACUUGUCCCAGUGACACAGCCAUGCUCUCCCACUCACCCACAAUAGGGUCUGAAUGUGCCCCCCAGAUUCACAGUGAGAAACUCAUUCCCCAGAGCAACAGUGUAGAGAGGUGGAACCUGAUGGGAGCCCCGCCCUCACAGACGAACUCCUGUAGCUGUCAAGACAGCUUGGGCAUGGAUUCCUCUCUGCCUUCUGCCAUGUGGACACGUGGCCUUCCUCCCCUCUCUCCUCCGGGGAAUGCAGUGUUUGGGCGCCAUCUUGGAAGCAGAGAUCAGGCCUCACCAGACACCAAGCCUACUGGCACCAUGACCCUGGACUCCCAGCCUCCACAGCUGGGAAAGAACUCUGCUCCCUAGAAAUUACCCAGGCUCGCUCAGGUGUGUGCUCCUGUACCAACACUGAAAUCCAGCUGUCACAACAGGCACCCACUGACCCCAGCCUCAUGGAACCACCAUUCACCAGGCUCGAGGGGAGGAUGUCACGGCGCGCUGUUCCCUUCGGUGCCAGCCAGGAUGGGGCCGGGUGGGUGUGGCUGGUGAAAAGAAAUGCAGCCCCCCAGCCCCUGCAGACCAAGCCGAACAGCCCAGCUCGCGGGCGGAUCACAGGGCACCCAGCAGCCGCCUUCCCUCCGGAAGAGCCAAGGCGGCUUCCAAGACCAGAAAUGCCCCCAGUGUGGCUGUGCCUGUCCCCGGUGCCCGCCGGCUGGGGGGCAGCAUGCCCAAACAGAUGCACCCUGCCCAUGAUGGCACCCCAGGGACCCCCAUCCUCAGGACCCUCCAGUCGUUCAAGCUGGAAUUGGCAGGUUUCUGCCUGUAUAGGCAUCGGCUUCAGAGUCUCAGGUGCUGCUUGGCAGGAAAAUGCACGGCAGGAGGGGCUGGGCCUCGGCUCGAGGCUCCCAGGUGCACCCCCCCACUCCACUGCAGGGCCCAGGGUGGCCAAGAACAGCCACAACAACAACAAAAGCCAAACUGGGAACGGAAUCGUGGAAAAAACCCUCAUAGGCUUUUGGGAACUUACAAAGAAAUGCCCACAUCCAUUCUACUAACAUGGCAUCUACUAACGUGGCAUCUACUAGGAUGCCACAAAACAGACAAAUCCUUCCACGUAAGGCUGGACACGUGUCAGGGCGGUGUCUCAAAGCUGGGCCACAGGCAGCAUCCACGGCCAGGCCACUGGGUGGAGGAGACGGUGCUGGGGAGGAGCCGGAGGGAGGGGCCGGGGCUGUUCCCUUAGGCAGAACGGCUCACCUGUGGUGUGCGCACAGCAGGGUUGUGGGGACACAAGAUGCCCCCUUCAUUCAUCAGUUACUUGUAUUCUUUGUAUGAAACACUUGCCGAUACAAUGUGAAAAAGGGGGCAUUUCCUAAAAUACUUUCCCUACCUUAGUCCUGUGCUGCUUUACAAGGGUUUAAUAAGCAGCAGGGGUGGGAACAGAGCAGGACCCAGCCCGUUCUCUGCUCCGAGGGCUCAAGAUUGCCUCAGUUUCCCUGACAGCAUCCCCAGGGGCCAGCGUUACCUCCUCCUCUUGCUCAAAAGCCUUCAGUGCCCAUCUCUGCAGCUGGCACGUGGGCUCCAGGUCAGGACCCAUGGUGCCUGACACCUUUUCCCACCGCCGCCCCCUGCGCCCAACCCAUGGACGUCCUGGCCUCUCAGAGCAGUGCGUUUGAAUGCACGCUGGCCCCAGGUCAGACGCUGUGGCAGUAACAGGUGCUGCCCCUGUGGCUGCAACCACAGCAGUGACCUGAGAUACAACAGGGGGCCCGUUCUGUGUCCAUGGGGCUGGGGGCCCAAGGGCUCUAGUUCUGAAGGGACAUCUGAGAAAUAGCCUGGGGGAGGUGAGGGCUGGAGCCUGGGGAGGGCACAGCUGUGCAAAGGCCCCAUAGUGGGCGCGUGCCUUGUGUGCUGGGGGCCACAGAGGGGCCCAAUGAGACCCGAGUGAAGGGGCUGAGGGGGAGGAGGCUUUUGGACACAGGAGGACACUGCUGUCCGUAGGGCCAGGCAGGAUG
Long non-coding RNA from Pan troglodytes (chimpanzee), 2443 nucleotides. RefSeq annotates it as PRKCZ antisense RNA 1. NCBI's taxonomy places the organism in Eukaryota, Metazoa, Chordata, Mammalia, Primates, Hominidae. The record is from RefSeq and is a predicted model, not a curated record. The transcript is spliced from 2 exons.